GACGAACGCUGGCGGCGUGCCUAAUACAUGCAAGUAGAACGCUGAAGCUUGGUGCUUGCACCGAGCGGAUGAGUUGCGAACGGGUGAGUAACGCGUAGGUAACCUGCCUGGUAGCGGGGGAUAACUAUUGGAAACGAUAGCUAAUACCGCAUAAGAGUAGAUGUUGCAUGACAUUUGCUUAAAAGGUGCAAUUGCAUCACUACCAGAUGGACCUGCGUUGUAUUAGCUAGUUGGUGAGGUAACGGCUCACCAAGGCAACGAUACAUAGCCGACCUGAGAGGGUGAUCGGCCACACUGGGACUGAGACACGGCCCAGACUCCUACGGGAGGCAGCAGUAGGGAAUCUUCGGCAAUGGACGGAAGUCUGACCGAGCAACGCCGCGUGAGUGAAGAAGGUUUUCGGAUCGUAAAGCUCUGUUGUAAGAGAAGAGCGAGUGUGAGAGUGGAAAGUUCACACUGUGACGGUAGCUUACCAGAAAGGGACGGCUAACUACGUG
RNAcentral lists this ribosomal RNA (497 nucleotides) under uncultured bacterium. Its description in RNAcentral is "partial 16S ribosomal RNA". It matches the Rfam family "Bacterial small subunit ribosomal RNA", at positions 28 to 507 of the family's 1533-position model. The record is from RNAcentral.